Megalobrama amblycephala (Wuchang bream) is the source of this 936-nucleotide long non-coding RNA. RefSeq lists it as uncharacterized. Lineage: Eukaryota; Metazoa; Chordata; Actinopteri; Cypriniformes; Xenocyprididae. The transcript is spliced from 4 exons. The record is from RefSeq and is a predicted model, not a curated record.
UAUAUUUCUGUGGACGUUUUCUUGCAAUGAAAAUGCCUAAAGGAAACUUUUCCUGAACAACAGUACUAUAAAUAGACCAAAGAACGCAGUUGGCUUCAGACUUCAACUGAAGACAUUACCAGACGACUUCAUUUCUUAACAUAACGAAUACACACGAGGACUCCAGUCUAGUCUAGAAAGUACCCCCCACCCCCGUGCCGGAUGGUCCGUUCCGGUUGUUCGCGCGGGCGCCUGCCUGAUGCAGUUUGACAGAUUUUGAGCAUGGCUCCGAAAAGACAGCAGGAGUCGGGUGCUGAAAAACAAAAGAAGAAGAAACUGCGAGAUGAUGCCCGUGCAUCACUUUCAGAUCCUAACGGUGAGUUCUGAAACACAGAUACAGAUGCUCCAGAAAGAUCAUCUCCCAAACAACACCUAUUCUGGGGUGUGUGGAUAUGAAGCUGAUGGGUCUGCCCCAACCCAGGAGUGAUGGACUGAAGGAUUUUCAAUGCUCUUAUCCUGUUUUACUGUACCUUUAUUUUUCUUCUUACGAUCAAUAAAAUGGUGGUUUACAAAUUCUGAGUUGAAAGACAUUUUCUUCACAGUACAAAUAUUUUCUCAUGUAAUUUAGAUUAUAUUAGGUCAGGUACAAGUUUACUAAAACAUAACAUAGAGUUGGCAGGGUUUGAAAGUUUCUUUUGCAAAUGAGCACAUUAAAGCACAUUAAUUUCACCUACAGGAAUAUAAAAGAAAUAUAAAUGGGGCCCAGUUCUCACCCACUGUGGUCCCACAAAAACCCCAUAGAGGGGCCAUUUGUGGGUCCAGUGUUAUCACCCUUCUGGGCCCCGUAAGGGUUCUGUAUGUGGCCCACAUUGGCCCCAUUUAUUAGAACCCAUAUGUGACCCAUGUGGGCCCCUAUAAUGAACACACAAAUGAGCCCCACUUAGAGCCCACUAUGGA